Molecule: non-coding RNA, 399 nt
Organism: Biomphalaria pfeifferi
Lineage: Eukaryota; Metazoa; Mollusca; Gastropoda; Planorbidae
Source: the annotation of a GenBank genome assembly
AGUGUUUUAAAAUUUUAAUAGCGGAUGCAGUGGAUAAAUGUGUGGUAACACGGCUAGGAUAUAUUACAAACGAUGGAAUGUGCAUUGAAAAAAAUGUCAGUUGAUACAACUAUUGCGGUGAUGAAAUACAUAAAGUUAACAGACAACUGGGUAAACAUAACUAUUUACAUUCAUUCUUUCUUAGCUCUGAGUAAAACAAAAUGCUACUUGAAGUAAAGUAAACUUGUUACUUGUUCAAAACCAAAUGUAUAGAAAUCGAUGUAACAGAAAUUAACACUAUCAUGAUGAUGCUACUCUGAAAAAAAAACAUUAAUCAAGAAUUUUUGUGUAACACUGUCUUUUACAAAAUUUGAACUUACAGGGUGUAAUACUAAAGGUUUCUUUUUUUUUUUUUUUUUU